Molecule: long non-coding RNA, 522 nt
Filed under: Rattus norvegicus (Norway rat)
Lineage: Eukaryota; Metazoa; Chordata; Mammalia; Rodentia; Muridae
Description: long non-coding RNA NONRATT001741
Source: RNAcentral
GUGAGUAGGAGCAGGGCGGACGGGGCCGGGGCUGGGCAGGGCAGGCUUGCUGAGUUAGCUGGGCCCACCAUGCCCAGGUGCCUUCGCACGCAGGGCCUGGGACAUUGUGAGUGAUGGGCAGAGUGGAAUAAGCUGUUCUCAUAGGAGGACGAUGAGGGAACCCCAUGCCCAGCAGAGGAUGAGCUGACCAUGCAGGACAAUGGCUUCCUCAGCAAGAAUGAGGUACUGCGCAGCAAGGUGUCGAAGCUUACAGAGCGGCUCCGCAAGCGCUACCCGACCAACAACUUCGGGAACUGUGCAGGCUGUGCUGCCACCUUCUCCGUGCUGAAGAAGAGGCGAAGCUGCAGCAACUGUGGGAACAGCUUCUGCUCUCGGUGCUGCUCCUUCAAGGUGCCCAAGUCCUCCAUGGGGGCCACAGCUCCUGAAGCCCAGAGAGAGACUGUGUUUGUGUGUGCCUCCUGUAAUCAGACCUUGAGCAAAUGAGAAGAGAAGCCAGGCUCCAGCUGCCCUGGGGCCAGCAGU